UGGGGAAUAUUGAACAAUGGGCGAAAGCCUGAUCCAGCCAUGCCGCGUGUGUGAAGAAGGUCUUCGGAUUGUAAAGCACUUUAAGUUGGGAGGAAGGGCAGUAAGCGAAUACCUUGCUGUUUUGACGUUACCGACAGAAUAAGCACCGGCUAACUCUGUGCCAGCAGCCGCGGUAAUACAGAGGGUGCAAGCGUUAAUCGGAAUUACUGGGCGUAAAGCGCGCGUAGGUGGUUCGUUAAGUUGAAUGUGAAAGCCCCGGGCUCAACCUGGGAACUGCAGCCAAAGCAGGCGAGCUAGAGGAGGGCAGAGGGUGGUGGAAUUUCCUGUGUAGCGGUGAAAUGCGUAGAUAUAGGAAGGAACACCAGUGGCGAAGGCGACCACCUGGGCUCAUACUGACACUGAGGUGCGAAAACGUGGGGAGCAAACAGG
RNAcentral lists this ribosomal RNA (429 nucleotides) under Pseudomonadota bacterium. RNAcentral's name for it is "Proteobacteria bacterium partial 16S ribosomal RNA". It matches the Rfam family "Bacterial small subunit ribosomal RNA", at positions 355 to 776 of the family's 1533-position model. Lineage: Bacteria; Pseudomonadati; Pseudomonadota. The record is from RNAcentral.